This 439-nucleotide ribosomal RNA is filed under the name uncultured bacterium. Its description in RNAcentral is "partial 16S ribosomal RNA". It matches the Rfam family "Bacterial small subunit ribosomal RNA", at positions 339 to 795 of the family's 1533-position model. The record is from RNAcentral.
CUACGGGAUGCUGCAGUGGGGAAUAUUGCACAAUGGGGGGAACCCUGAUGCAGCAACGCCGCGUGGAGGAUGACGCAUUUCGGUGUGUAAACUCCUUUUAUAUAGGAAGAUAAUGACGGUACUAUAUGAAUAAGCACCGGCUAACUCCGUGCCAGCAGCCGCGGUAAUACGGAGGGUGCAAGCGUUACUCGGAAUCACUGGGCGUAAAGCGCGCGCAGGCGGCCUUUUAAGUUGGAUGUGAAAGCCUACGGCUUAACCGUAGAACUGCAUCCAAAACUACUAGGCUAGAGUCUGGGAGGGGAAGAUGGAAUUAGUUGUGUAGGGGUAAAAUCCGUAGAGAUAACUAGGAAUACCAAAAGCGAAGGCAAUCUUCUGGAACAGUACUGACGCUGAGGCGCGAAAGCGUGGGGAGCAAACAGGAUUAGAUACCCCAGUAGUC